This 775-nucleotide ribosomal RNA is filed under the name uncultured Streptococcus sp. RNAcentral's name for it is "bacterial SSU rRNA". It matches the Rfam family "Bacterial small subunit ribosomal RNA", at positions 28 to 776 of the family's 1533-position model. The record is from RNAcentral. Lineage: Bacteria; Bacillati; Bacillota; Bacilli; Lactobacillales; Streptococcaceae.
GACGAACGCUGGCGGCGUGCCUAAUACAUGCAAGUAGAACGCACAGGAUGCACCGUAGUUUACUACACCGUAUUCUGUGAGUUGCGAACGGGUGAGUAACGCGUAGGUAACCUGCCUGGUAGCGGGGGAUAACUAUUGGAAACGAUAGCUAAUACCGCAUAAGAACAUUUACUGCAUGGUAGAUGUUUAAAAGGUGCAAAUGCAUCACUACCAGAUGGACCUGCGUUGUAUUAGCUAGUAGGUGAGGUAACGGCUCACCUAGGCGACGAUACAUAGCCGACCUGAGAGGGUGAUCGGCCACACUGGGACUGAGACACGGCCCAGACUCCUACGGGAGGCAGCAGUAGGGAAUCUUCGGCAAUGGGGGGAACCCUGACCGAGCAACGCCGCGUGAGUGAAGAAGGUUUUCGGAUCGUAAAGCUCUGUUGUUAAGGAAGAACGAGUGUGAGAAUGGAAAGUUCAUACUGUGACGGUACUUAACCAGAAAGGGACGGCUAACUACGUGCCAGCAGCCGCGGUAAUACGUAGGUCCCGAGCGUUGUCCGGAUUUAUUGGGCGUAAAGCGAGCGCAGGCGGUUAGAUAAGUCUGAAGUUAAAGGCAGUGGCUCAACCAUUGUAGGCUUUGGAAACUGUUUAACUUGAGUGCAGAAGGGGAGAGUGGAAUUCCAUGUGUAGCGGUGAAAUGCGUAGAUAUAUGGGAGGAACACCGGUGGCGAAAGCGGCUCUCUGGUCUGUAACUGACGCUGAGGCUCGAAAGCGUGGGGGAGCGAACNNG